RNAcentral lists this ribosomal RNA (497 nucleotides) under uncultured bacterium. Its description in RNAcentral is "partial 16S ribosomal RNA". It matches the Rfam family "Bacterial small subunit ribosomal RNA", at positions 28 to 507 of the family's 1533-position model. The record is from RNAcentral.
GAUGAACGCUGGCGGCGUGCCUAAUACAUGCCAGUCGAGCGAACAGACGAGGAGCUUGCUCCUCUGACGUUAGCGGCGGACGGGUGAGUAACACGUGGAUAACCUACCUAUAAGACUGGGAUAACUUCGGGAAACCGGAGCUAAUACCGGAUAAUAUAUUGAACCGCAUGGUUCAAUAGUGAAAGACGGUUUUGCUGUCACUUAUAGAUGGAUCCGCGCCGCAUUAGCUAGUUGGUAAGGUAACGGCUUACCAAGGCAACGAUGCGUAGCUGACCUGAGAGGGUGAUCGGCCACACUGGAACUGAGACACGGUCCAGACUCCUACGGGAGGCAGCAGUAGGGAAUCUUCCGCAAUGGGCGAAAGCUUGACGGAGCAACGCCGCGUGAGUGAUGAAGGUCUUCGGAUCGUAAAACUCUGUUAUUAGGGAAGAACAAAUGUGUAAGUAACUAUGCACGUCUUGACGGUACCUAAUCAGAAAGCCACGGCUAACUACGUG